AAUGAACGCUGGCGGCAGGCCUAACACAUGCAAGUCGAACGGAUCCUUCGGGAUUAGUGGCGGACGGGUGAGUAACGCGUGGGAACAUACCCAAGGGUACGGAAUAGCCUCGGGACACUGGGAGUAAUACCGCACGUGUUCGAAAGAGGAAAGAUUUAUCGCCUUUGGAUUGGCCCGCGUUGGAUUAGGUAGUUGGUGGGGUAAUGGCCUACCAAGCCGACGAUCCAUAGCUGGUUUGAGAGGAUGAUCAGCCACCCUGGGACUGAGACACGGGCCAGACUCCUACGGGAGGCAGCAGUGGGGAAUCUUAGACAAUGGGGGAAACCCUGAUCUAGCCAUGCCGCGUGAUCGAUGAAGGCCUUAGGGUUGUAAAGAUCUUUCAGGUGUGAAGAUAAUGACUGUACCACCAGAAGAAGCCCCGGCUAACUCCGUGCCAGCCGCCGCGGUAA
This 449-nucleotide ribosomal RNA is filed under the name uncultured bacterium. RNAcentral's name for it is "partial 16S ribosomal RNA". It matches the Rfam family "Bacterial small subunit ribosomal RNA", at positions 29 to 523 of the family's 1533-position model. The record is from RNAcentral.